GACGUUAGCUGCAGAAGAAGCACCGGCUAACUCCGUGCCAGCAGCCGCGGUAAUACGGAGGGUGCGAGCGUUAAUCGGGAAUUACUGGGCGUAAAGCGCAUGCAGGUGGUUUGUUAAGUCAGAUGUGAAAGCCCGGGGCUCAACCUCGGAAUUGUCAUUUGAAACUGGCAAACUAGAGUACUGUAGAGGGGGUAGGAAUUUCAGGUGUAGCGGUGAAAUGCGUAGAGAUCUGAAGGAAUACCGGUGGCGAAGGCGGCCCCCUGGACAGAUACUGACACUCAGAUGCGAAAGCGUGGGGAGCAAACAGGAUUACAUACCCUGGUAG
Molecule: ribosomal RNA, 325 nt
Filed under: uncultured bacterium
Lineage: Bacteria
Description: bacterial SSU rRNA
Rfam family: Bacterial small subunit ribosomal RNA
Source: RNAcentral